Manis javanica (Malayan pangolin) is the source of this 998-nucleotide long non-coding RNA. RefSeq lists it as uncharacterized. The record is from RefSeq and is a predicted model, not a curated record. Lineage: Eukaryota; Metazoa; Chordata; Mammalia; Pholidota; Manidae.
UCAGUGCAGAACUUACCUAGUAGAAGUAGUGUGGAGCUUCAGCCCCAAACUCAUUUAGGCCUGCCUGUCUCCACUGCAGUGGCUCCUAAUGCACCUCUGUGUAACCAUGUGAUCCUGAGAAGAUGGUUCAAAACCUCAGAUGCACAAGAAUAACCUCAAAGUAAUUAACCUGCAACUUACUUUUAUGUUGAUAUAUAUUAUUCUUAUGUUUACUAGAUCUGGAUUAUUUUUAUGACUUCAUGAAGUCAAAUUGAAACUUGCAGUGAGAUAAAAAGAAAAUGAAUGCCCUCUGGUCCAAAACAUUACGAGUUACUGUGGCCUGGACCCAACCCUUGACUGCAACUGCAGUGUGAUGAUUGCUCUGAACUCAGCUACUGACUGCCUGUGGAAUGGGGGCCAUUGUGGAAGAUGGGGAGCAAGUAGACUGUGAGAAGACCCUCUGCCUCAAACAAAAGGCUGCUCAGAUAUAUGAUCACCACAUUACAGGGCUUUGCAGAGAGGCAUAAAAAGCUAAAAGGGAUUUGUGAAGUUACUACUUUGCACUAAAAUAGCAUUGGAAUCUGAGCACUGCCUUGCAAUGAACAGCAAGCAACCAUAAACUUCUAUGAAAAUGUACUGGUCCCUACUUGACGCUUUUAAUGGGAAAUGUAGUGUCAGGAGAUUUUGAAAUUUUUUUCAAAACAUCUUGGUUUGAAAGUUCUACAAGCAUGCUUCUGCUCUCUAGUCUGGAUUUGAAUAUUAGAGCCUUAGUUAGGGUUUCCUGCAUACUUUUCCAUACUUGAAAAAUUUCCCUUAAGAUUAUUUAGAGAUGAACUGAGGACCAAGAUGAAGGCCAGUGGCUCCUAGAAUUGUGUUUUAUUGUAUCUUCUCUACUUCUUCUCUUGCGAUGAUAUAUACACAAUAAGAAAGAAAAGAGAAAGGAAGGGCAAAGGACCUUUCCUAAGCCAUUUAUUAGGCCUCUUGAGUUUGACAAUUAGUGAAAAAUGAGUUCUCUCCCA